RNAcentral lists this ribosomal RNA (1041 nucleotides) under Escherichia coli. RNAcentral's name for it is "partial 23S ribosomal RNA". It matches the Rfam family "Bacterial large subunit ribosomal RNA", at positions 296 to 1346 of the family's 2925-position model. Lineage: Bacteria; Pseudomonadati; Pseudomonadota; Gammaproteobacteria; Enterobacterales; Enterobacteriaceae. The record is from RNAcentral.
AGCCCAGAGCCUGAAUCAGUGUGUGUGUUAGUGGAAGCGUCUGGAAAGGCGCGCGAUACAGGGUGACAGCCCCGUACACAAAAAUGCACAUGCUGUGAGCUCGAUGAGUAGGGCGGGACACGUGGUAUCCUGUCUGAAUAUGGGGGGACCAUCCUCCAAGGCUAAAUACUCCUGACUGACCGAUAGUGAACCAGUACCGUGAGGGAAAGGCGAAAAGAACCCCGGCGAGGGGAGUGAAAAAGAACCUGAAACCGUGUACGUACAAGCAGUGGGAGCCUCUUUAUGGGGUGACUGCGUACCUUUUGUAUAAUGGGUCAGCGACUUAUAUUCUGUAGCAAGGUUAACCGAAUAGGGGAGCCGAAGGGAAACCGAGUCUUAACUGGGCGUUAAGUUGCAGGGUAUAGACCCGAAACCCGGUGAUCUAGCCAUGGGCAGGUUGAAGGUUGGGUAACACUAACUGGAGGACCGAACCGACUAAUGUUGAAAAAUUAGCGGAUGACUUGUGGCUGGGGGUGAAAGGCCAAUCAAACCGGGAGAUAGCUGGUUCUCCCCGAAAGCUAUUUAGGUAGCGCCUCGUGAAUUCAUCUCCGGGGGUAGAGCACUGUUUCGGCAAGGGGGUCAUCCCGACUUACCAACCCGAUGCAAACUGCGAAUACCGGAGAAUGUUAUCACGGGAGACACACGGCGGGUGCUAACGUCCGUCGUGAAGAGGGAAACAACCCAGACCGCCAGCUAAGGUCCCAAAGUCAUGGUUAAGUGGGAAACGAUGUGGGAAGGCCCAGACAGCCAGGAUGUUGGCUUAGAAGCAGCCAUCAUUUAAAGAAAGCGUAAUAGCUCACUGGUCGAGUCGGCCUGCGCGGAAGAUGUAACGGGGCUAAACCAUGCACCGAAGCUGCGGCAGCGACGCUUAUGCGUUGUUGGGUAGGGGAGCGUUCUGUAAGCCUGCGAAGGUGUACUGUGAGGUAUGCUGGAGGUAUCAGAAGUGCGAAUGCUGACAUAAGUAACGAUAAAGCGGGUGAAAAGCCCGCUCGCCGGAAGACC